This 1504-nucleotide ribosomal RNA is filed under the name Klebsiella pneumoniae. Its description in RNAcentral is "bacterial SSU rRNA". It matches the Rfam family "Bacterial small subunit ribosomal RNA". The record is from RNAcentral. Lineage: Bacteria; Pseudomonadati; Pseudomonadota; Gammaproteobacteria; Enterobacterales; Enterobacteriaceae.
AGAGUUUGAUCCUGGCUCAGAUUGAACGCUGGCGGCAGGCCUAACACAUGCAAGUCGAGCGGUAGCACAGAGAGCUUGCUCUCGGGUGACGAGCGGCGGACGGGUGAGUAAUGUCUGGGAAACUGCCUGAUGGAGGGGGAUAACUACUGGAAACGGUAGCUAAUACCGCAUAACGUCGCAAGACCAAAGUGGGGGACCUUCGGGCCUCAUGCCAUCAGAUGUGCCCAGAUGGGAUUAGCUAGUAGGUGGGGUAACGGCUCACCUAGGCGACGAUCCCUAGCUGGUCUGAGAGGAUGACCAGCCACACUGGAACUGAGACACGGUCCAGACUCCUACGGGAGGCAGCAGUGGGGAAUAUUGCACAAUGGGCGCAAGCCUGAUGCAGCCAUGCCGCGUGUGUGAAGAAGGCCUUCGGGUUGUAAAGCACUUUCAGCGGGGAGGAAGGCGGUGAGGUUAAUAACCUCAUCGAUUGACGUUACCCGCAGAAGAAGCACCGGCUAACUCCGUGCCAGCAGCCGCGGUAAUACGGAGGGUGCAAGCGUUAAUCGGAAUUACUGGGCGUAAAGCGCACGCAGGCGGUCUGUCAAGUCGGAUGUGAAAUCCCCGGGCUCAACCUGGGAACUGCAUUCGAAACUGGCAGGCUAGAGUCUUGUAGAGGGGGGUAGAAUUCCAGGUGUAGCGGUGAAAUGCGUAGAGAUCUGGAGGAAUACCGGUGGCGAAGGCGGCCCCCUGGACAAAGACUGACGCUCAGGUGCGAAAGCGUGGGGAGCAAACAGGAUUAGAUACCCUGGUAGUCCACGCCGUAAACGAUGUCGAUUUGGAGGUUGUGCCCUUGAGGCGUGGCUUCCGGAGCUAACGCGUUAAAUCGACCGCCUGGGGAGUACGGCCGCAAGGUUAAAACUCAAAUGAAUUGACGGGGGCCCGCACAAGCGGUGGAGCAUGUGGUUUAAUUCGAUGCAACGCGAAGAACCUUACCUGGUCUUGACAUCCACAGAACUUAGCAGAGAUGCUUUGGUGCCUUCGGGAACUGUGAGACAGGUGCUGCAUGGCUGUCGUCAGCUCGUGUUGUGAAAUGUUGGGUUAAGUCCCGCAACGAGCGCAACCCUUAUCCUUUGUUGCCAGCGGUUAGGCCGGGAACUCAAAGGAGACUGCCAGUGAUAAACUGGAGGAAGGUGGGGAUGACGUCAAGUCAUCAUGGCCCUUACGACCAGGGCUACACACGUGCUACAAUGGCAUAUACAAAGAGAAGCGACCUCGCGAGAGCAAGCGGACCUCAUAAAGUAUGUCGUAGUCCGGAUUGGAGUCUGCAACUCGACUCCAUGAAGUCGGAAUCGCUAGUAAUCGUAGAUCAGAAUGCUACGGUGAAUACGUUCCCGGGCCUUGUACACACCGCCCGUCACACCAUGGGAGUGGGUUGCAAAAGAAGUAGGUAGCUUAACCUUCGGGAGGGCGCUUACCACUUUGUGAUUCAUGACUGGGGUGAAGUCGUAACAAGGUAACCGUA